GACUCUGAAAUGGUGGCUAGUAUUAUCAUGCCUCCUGUGGGUGCUCCGUGGAGGUGGAGGUAAACUACCAGGCCUCUCCACACCAGAGGGAAAUUGAGCCUAGUGGGUGAGUGUAGAAUUCAAGGGAAUUGUUUGUGGCUGGAGGAAGAGAGCUGUGUGCUUGGGGAGGUGACUGUCAGGGCAACUCUUGAUCAAUACUUGGCUGGUUCUGGGGACUUGGAGCCCAACCAGUUGGUGCAAAUUGGGGGUUGGGGAUCGGGAGGGAAGGUGGGGACUUAGAUCCUCCUGACACAGAGUUGAGAAUGAAAAAUGUUAAAACACUUGGAUAUGCAGGAAGUAGCAGGCCAGAGAGGACUCGAAGAUCCUUAGAAGGAGCCAUAGACGGAACCAUAGGAGGCGCCCAGGAGCUAUGGGCUCCAGAAGUUUCCUCCUAAACUGUGGUCUCAGCGAGGCUCAUUGACACUCACCGGGGUUUCGACAUUCUCCCUGGCUAGGGCCUGUUCUGGAAAUAGACCAAGGGGGAGAUGGAGCCCCUGGCCGUGGGACAUCCAAUCUGAUGGUGAUGAGAAGGCGCUGCCGUUUUCCUGCUCUCCGUCCGUGGGGGUGUUUGUUUACACAUCUCUCGCAAGAAAAGCGCUUCUCUCUGGCUUCCCUCUGCCUCCCCCCCUCCUUCCUGCCCUCUCCCCUGCCUUCCCUUCCUCCUUCCUUCUCUCCCUCCCUCCUUUUCUCCCCGUUCCUUUCUUCCCUUCUCUCUGUCCUUCCCCCUUCCUUCCUUUACUGAUGUAACAACCUUGGUGUGCCGUGGCUAAGCCACACUCCACCCCUGACCUGCGGGGGAUGAGUCAAACGGUCAGACUUGCCUGGGCUUGUUCCACGCUCCCCUGGCUAGACAGGCGUCUACACAUUCUCAGUUAGGGGCUGGACAGGGGCAGCUGCUAGACAGGUCCUAUUCUGGGCCUCUCUGAGAAAAAGUGUCCCUGAAAAGAAAGGGAGCUCCCACUUCCAUGGACCCUUAGCCAUGCCAAGGGGCAGUACCGGCUUUCUGCUGGUGCUGAUGAGCUGUGGUGUGAACUCACGAAGGUCAGCUGAUUCACGGGCCCUGGAUCUCUGCUCUCCUUCCGCUAAGUGGGACUCGGGCCAGCCUGCCAUGAAGGAGGUAGCUGCUGCAGCUUUCAGGAAGGAACACCAGGUGUCAACCCCACCGGGUGGCCAACCCCACCUGGCUAGGACCCAGUCCCUGGUGGCUGCUCUCCCGAGAGGCGGGCAGGGCUGGGGCUAGGGGCUGUCCAGGAGUGUUCUGGACUGUCCCUUCGCCACAAUUCCCACAGGCUGCUCAGGACCGAGGCUGAGACGGGCGACCAGGACGGGAUUGUAUGGCUGCAGGAGGCUACACAGUCCCAGGAGGCUGCUUCUAAGAGGCCCACGUGGCCUGCAUGGGGAUGCGCCUGGCUGUCCAGCAUGUGGUCAUUUGAAUUGUACAUGUUUCACUGGGAUGCCUACAGAAAAGUAGACAGAAGAUGUGGAAAAAGUUUUUGAAAUGUUGC
This 1544-nucleotide long non-coding RNA is filed under the name Homo sapiens (human). RNAcentral describes it as "non-protein coding lnc-CENPP-20:29". Lineage: Eukaryota; Metazoa; Chordata; Mammalia; Primates; Hominidae. The record is from RNAcentral.